This 440-nucleotide ribosomal RNA is filed under the name uncultured bacterium. Its description in RNAcentral is "partial 16S ribosomal RNA". It matches the Rfam family "Bacterial small subunit ribosomal RNA", at positions 338 to 795 of the family's 1533-position model. The record is from RNAcentral.
CCUACGGGUGGCAGCAGUAGGGAAUAUUGCUCAAUGGGGGCAACCCUGAAGCAGCAAUGCCGCGUGUAUGAUGAAGGUUUUCGGAUUGUAAAGUACUUUUGGUCGGGAGGAUAGUGUCAAUGUCUAUCAAAUUAGCACUGGACAACUCCGGCCCAGCAGCCGCGGGAAAACUGAGGGUGCAAGCGUUACUCGGAAUUACUGGGCGUAACGUGCACGGAGGCGGGUUAGCAAGUCAGAUGUGAAAUCCCAUGGCUUAACCAGAGAAGUGCAUUUGAAACUGUUCAUCUAGAGUAUUGGAGAGGUAGGUAGAAUUCUAGGUGUAGGGGUAAAAUCCGUAGAGAUGAAGAGGAAUACUCAUUGCGAAGGCGACCUGCUAGAACAUAACUGACGCUGAUGUGCGAAAGCGUGGGGAGCAAACAGGAUUAGAUACCCUUGUAGUC